Molecule: ribosomal RNA, 400 nt
Filed under: Naganishia vishniacii
Lineage: Eukaryota; Fungi; Basidiomycota; Tremellomycetes; Filobasidiales; Filobasidiaceae
Description: LSU rRNA
Rfam family: Eukaryotic large subunit ribosomal RNA
Source: RNAcentral
AGCCUUCGGUUGCCCGAGUUGUAAUCUAGAGAAGUGUUUUCCGUGCCGGCCCAUGUACAAGUCCCUUGGAACAGGGCGUCAUAGAGGGUGAGAAUCCCGUCCUUGACAUGGACCCCCGGUGCUUUGUGAUACACUUUCAACGAGUCGAGUUGUUUGGGAAUGCAGCUCAAAAUGGGUGGUGAAUUCCAUCUAAAGCUAAAUAUUGGCGAGAGACCGAUAGCGAACAAGUACCGUGAGGGAAAGAUGAAAAGCACUUUGGAAAGAGAGUUAAACAGUACGUGAAAUUGUUGAAAGGGAAACGAUUGAAGUCAGUCAUGCUCUUUGGUUUAAGCCGUUCUGCGGUGUAUAUCAUUGAGUGGGGUCAACAUCAGUUUUGAUCGAUGGAUAAAGGCACUAGGAA